This 467-nucleotide ribosomal RNA is filed under the name uncultured bacterium. RNAcentral describes it as "partial 16S ribosomal RNA". It matches the Rfam family "Bacterial small subunit ribosomal RNA", at positions 28 to 506 of the family's 1533-position model. The record is from RNAcentral.
GACGAACGCUGGCGGCGUGCUUAACACAUGCAAGUCGAACGGAAAGGCCCUGCUUUUGUGGGGUGCUCGAGUGGCGAACGGGUGAGUAACACGUGAGUAACCUGCCCGUGACUUUGGGAUAACUUCAGGAAACUGGGGCUAAUACCGGAUAGGAGCUCCUGCUGCAUGGUGGGGGUUGGAAAGUUUCGGCGGUUGGGGAUGGACUCGCGGCUUAUCAGCUUGUUGGUGGGGUAGUGGCUUACCAAGGCUUUGACGGGUAGCCGGCCUGAGAGGGUGACCGGCCACAUUGGGACUGAGAUACGGCCCAGACGCCUACGGGAGGCAGCAGUGGGGAAUAUUGCACGAUGGGCGGAAGCCUGCUGCAGCCACGCCGCGUGCGGGAUGACGGCCUUCGGGUUGUAAACCGCUUUCGCCUGUGACGAAGCGUGAGUGACGGUAAUGGGUAAAGAAGCACCGGCUAACUACGU